RNAcentral lists this ribosomal RNA (1064 nucleotides) under Sulfurimonas sp. 1H30-7C-S. Its description in RNAcentral is "bacterial SSU rRNA". It matches the Rfam family "Bacterial small subunit ribosomal RNA", at positions 18 to 1093 of the family's 1533-position model. The record is from RNAcentral. Lineage: Bacteria; Pseudomonadati; Campylobacterota; Epsilonproteobacteria; Campylobacterales; Sulfurimonadaceae.
CCUGGCUCAGAAUGAACGCUGGCGGCGUGCUUAACACAUGCAAGUCGAACGGUAACAGGAACUAGCUUGCUAGUUUGCUGACGAGUGGCGCACGGGUGAGUAAUAUAUAGAUAAUGUGCCCCUUGGACCGGGAUAGCCAUUGGAAACGAUGAUUAAUACCGGAUACUCCUUCUUACCAAAAGGUAAGUCGGGAAAUGGAUUCCGCCAAGGGAUCGGUCUAUAUCCCAUCAGUUAGUUGGUAGUGUAAGAGACUACCAAGACGAUGACGGGUAGCGGGUUUGAGAGGAUGAUCCGCCACACUGGUACUGAGACACGGACCAGACUCCUACGGGAGGCAGCAGUGAGGAAUAUUGCACAAUGGGGGAAACCCUGAUGCAGCAACGCCGCGUGGAGGAUGACGCAUUUCGGUGUGUAAACUCCUUUUAUAUGUCAAGAAAAUGACGGUAGCAUAUGAAUAAGCACCGGCUAACUCCGUGCCAGCAGCCGCGGUAAUACGGAGGGUGCAAGCGUUAUUCGGAAUCACUGGGCGUAAAGGACGCGUAGGCGGGUUGGAAAGUCAGAUGUGAAAUCCUACAGCUUAACUGUAGAACUGCAUUUGAAACUUCCAAUCUAGAGUAUGGGAGGGGGAGAUGGAAUUAGUGGUGUAGGGGUAAAAUCCGUAGAUAUCACUAGGAAUACCGAAAGCGAAGGCGAUCUCCUGGAACAUAACUGACGCUAAGGCGUGAAAGCGUGGGGAGCAAACAGGAUUAGAUACCCUGGUAGUCCACGCCCUAAACGAUGUUCACUAGUCGUCGGGAUGCUAGUCAUCUCGGUGAUGCACUUAACAGAUUAAGUGAACCGCCUGGGGAGUACGGUCGCAAGAUUAAAACUCAAAGGAAUAGACGGGGACCCGCACAAGUGGUGGAGCAUGUGGUUUAAUUCGAAGAUACGCGAAGAACCUUACCUAGCCUUGACAUUGAGAGAACCUGCCAGAGAUGGCGGGGUGCCCUUCGGGGAGCUCGAAAACAGGUGCUGCACGGCUGUCGUCAGCUCGUGUCGUGAGAUGUUGGGUUAAGUCCCGCAAC